AAAUGUUUACCAUAGUAAAAUUGGGCUUAAUUUCGGCUUAAGAUGGACUGAAAAUCAGUAACAUUUG
RNAcentral lists this transfer RNA (67 nucleotides) under Haematopinus suis. RNAcentral's name for it is "tRNA-Arg". The record is from RNAcentral. Lineage: Eukaryota; Metazoa; Arthropoda; Insecta; Psocodea; Haematopinidae.